GCCUUCGUGGUGUAGUGGUCAGCACAUCGGCGCGUAUCCAAGAAGUUCGUGGUUCGAUUCCCGGCGAAGGCG
This 72-nucleotide transfer RNA is filed under the name Stegodyphus mimosarum. It matches the Rfam family "tRNA". Rfam says of the family: Transfer RNA (tRNA) molecules are approximately 80 nucleotides in length. Their secondary structure includes four short double-helical elements and three loops (D, anti-codon, and T loops). The record is from Rfam by way of RNAcentral. Lineage: Eukaryota; Metazoa; Arthropoda; Arachnida; Araneae; Eresidae.